CAGUAGCCGCGGUAAUACGUAGGUGGCAAGCGUUGUCCGGAAUUAUUGGGCGUAAAGGGCUCGCAGGCGGUUUCUUAAGUCUGAUGUGAAAGCCCCCGGCUCAACCGGGGAGGGUCAUUGGAAACUGGGAAACUUGAGUGCAGAAGAGGAGAGUGGAAUUCCACGUGUAGCGGUGAAAUGCGUAGAGAUGUGGAGGAACACCAGUGGCGGAGGCGACUCUCUGGUCUGUAACUGACGCUGAGGAGCGAAAGCGUGGGGAGCGGACAGGAUUAGAUACCCGCGUAGUCCCUGUCUCUCAUAC
RNAcentral lists this ribosomal RNA (301 nucleotides) under uncultured bacterium. Its description in RNAcentral is "partial 16S ribosomal RNA". It matches the Rfam family "Bacterial small subunit ribosomal RNA", at positions 509 to 809 of the family's 1533-position model. The record is from RNAcentral.